AGGUUGGGGAGACAAUAUGAGCUAUGGCUAUACAAGGACAGACCACUACCAUGACUACCAAAGAGAUCUGCAAUACAAUCCAUGUUGGGUGGACAAUCCGAAUUAUGGCUAUGCAAGGGCUGACUACUACCAAAACUAUCAAGCCCAAGCAACACCUCAAAACUCCAAUAUGGAACUUGAAGAGAUGGUAAGGAAAUUGGAAAUUUCUGGAAAAAUUCUCCAACAGCAAGUGGAUCAAGCGGUCAAUUCAAUGAACGCGCACAUAUUAAGAAGAGAGGAAGAGCUUCAAGAUCUAUGGGACGAUGACGAAGAAACAGACCAA
RNAcentral lists this long non-coding RNA (322 nucleotides) under Manihot esculenta (cassava). RNAcentral's name for it is "long non-coding RNA (MESC_LNC012053)". Lineage: Eukaryota; Viridiplantae; Streptophyta; Magnoliopsida; Malpighiales; Euphorbiaceae. The record is from RNAcentral.